RNAcentral lists this ribosomal RNA (551 nucleotides) under Ctenophryne geayi (brown egg frog). Its description in RNAcentral is "partial 16S ribosomal RNA". It matches the Rfam family "Bacterial large subunit ribosomal RNA", at positions 1817 to 2597 of the family's 2925-position model. The record is from RNAcentral. Lineage: Eukaryota; Metazoa; Chordata; Amphibia; Anura; Microhylidae.
CGCCUCCUGACCCCAUAGGAGGUCCAGCCUGCCCAGUGACAAAGUUAAACGGCCGCGGUACCCUAACCGUGCGAAGGUAGCGCAAUCACUUGUUCUUUAAAUGAGGACUAGUAUGAAUGGCAUCACGAGGGUUUCACUGUCUCCCCCUUUUAAUCAAUGAAACUGAUCUUCCCGUGAAGAAGCGGGAAUAAACAUAUAAGACGAGAAGACCCCAUGGAGCUUUAAACCCAGUAUCAACUACACUUACUACACCACACAAGAUUAGUAGACGUGACACCUGGUUUUCGGUUGGGGUGACCACGGAGCAAAACAAAACCUCCAUGAUGAAAGGAAUCUAUUCCUAAUCUAAGAGCCACAGCUCAAAGAAUCAACAAACUGACAUUAAUUGACCCAAAUAUUUUGAUCAACGAACCAAGUUACCCUGGGGAUAACAGCGCAAUCCAUUUCAAGAGCUCCUAUCGACAAAUGGGUUUACGACCUCGAUGUUGGAUCAGGGUAUCCCAGUGGUGCAGCCGCUACUAAAGGUUCGUUUGUUCAACGAUUAAAACCCU